RNAcentral lists this transfer RNA (69 nucleotides) under Ictidomys tridecemlineatus (thirteen-lined ground squirrel). RNAcentral describes it as "Spermophilus tridecemlineatus (thirteen-lined ground squirrel) tRNA". It matches the Rfam family "tRNA". From Rfam's summary of the family: Transfer RNA (tRNA) molecules are approximately 80 nucleotides in length. Their secondary structure includes four short double-helical elements and three loops (D, anti-codon, and T loops). The record is from Rfam by way of RNAcentral. RNAcentral also lists the same sequence under 1 other name. Lineage: Eukaryota; Metazoa; Chordata; Mammalia; Rodentia; Sciuridae.
GGGAUUGUGGCUCAGGGGUAGAGCACUCGCCUAGCAUGUGUGAGGCCCUGGGUUCCAUCCUCAGCACCA